RNAcentral lists this transfer RNA (775 nucleotides) under uncultured cyanobacterium. RNAcentral describes it as "partial 16S-23S ribosomal RNA intergenic spacer". The stretch from base 268 to 340 matches the Rfam family "tRNA". The record is from RNAcentral. Lineage: Bacteria; Bacillati; Cyanobacteriota.
CAGGGAGACAACACAAUGAUUUUGAUGCCUGAGUGCUUUUAUUCUUAGGCCGAAAUCCUGUCACCUUAGGUCGAUCGGUACCUCAACUUUGAAGUUAAGGAUCAGCAGCAAUGUUGAUUGCUUGAUGGAGAUUUUCAGUUCCUAAACUUUGUCUAGGUCACACCCCAAAAGGGAUGAGACUCCUGGGCCAUUAGCUCAGGUGGUUAGAGCGCACCCCUGAUAAGGGUGAGGUCCCUGGUUCAAGUCCAGGAUGGCCCAUUCGGUGUUGGGGGUUUAGCUCAGUUGGUAGAGCGCCUGCUUUGCAAGCAGGAUGUCAGGAGUUCGAGUCUCCUAACCUCCACUGACCGAACUUGAUUCCCAUCUCCAAUUUUUUUGGAGUUGAGCUCGAUUGGAGUGUGAUUUAGAUGUGUCCGCUGGAUGACCCCAGCUUCCUGUCAUUCCAAGUUUUAGGUUAAAGCCUUGAAUUUGGUUGAUAAGAUGCUGGGCUCGGAUCAAAUGAUCAAGCAAUUGAUGAUUUGAUUUGAAGUUCUAGCAGAACCUUGACAACUGCAUAGGUGAGUCUGGAAAAAACAAAGCAUCUUACAGAUGCAUUGUUUUGAAUCUGAUCUUCUGAAAGGGAGAUUGGAUCUAGAACAAUGAAAAUUCUUUUGAGCAAGAGCCGAGACUCUUGAGCGUUCUUUGAUUGGUGUCGAGCCAAUCAGAGUUUGAUCUUGUUUUUAGCAAUAAAAACUUGAGAAUCUGCUUUCAACGGCGGUAAGCGUUCAGGAGGUUAAUU